RNAcentral lists this small nucleolar RNA (89 nucleotides) under Moschus moschiferus (Siberian musk deer). The record is from RNAcentral. Lineage: Eukaryota; Metazoa; Chordata; Mammalia; Artiodactyla; Moschidae.
UCUCAGUGAUGCAGUUCCAAUGGAUCCUUCUGACCCUCCUCUGUGGGCUCAGUCAUUGAGCAGGGAGGUGAAGAGGACCGUGACAGAGA